Molecule: RNA transcript, 6627 nt
Organism: Chelonia mydas (Green sea turtle)
Lineage: Eukaryota; Metazoa; Chordata; Testudines; Cheloniidae
Gene: YTHDF3
Gene name: YTH N6-methyladenosine RNA binding protein 3
Exons: 7
Source: RefSeq, a predicted model, not a curated record
GCGCGUGCGCAUCCUGGAGAGCUGGAGCGCGCAGUCGCUAUAGGCGCCACUUUUUCCUUCCCCUCCCUCUACACCCCCCCGCUCUUUGAGUCCGUGGUAUGGUGCGCGCGCGGGAUCGUUUCCACCCUCACGUGACAUGGAGGCGGAGAGAGGAAGGGAAAGGUCAGUGGCGACGUCGGCGGAGCGGAAGGUCAGGGCGGGAGCGGAAGUGGGAGCCGGAGCCUGUCCGCCAUUGUGGGAAAGCGGCGCCUAGAGCAGGGGGGGAAGCAGCGCUGCGUCCGGCCGGCUCCUUCCAGCGGGAACCCGAUCGGCGGCGGCGAGCCCGGGCGGCAGCGGCGGCGACAAUCAAGCGGCAGCGGGGAGAGCGGCGCGGUCCGUGUGUGCGGGAGUCACUCGAGGCCCAGGUGGAGCGAGGGGAUCGCGGCUCCCCGUGAAGAAUGUCAGCCACUAGCGUCGACCAGAGACCUAAAGGACAGGGAAAUAAAGGAAAAAUGGUUUGCUCUGACACAGUCCUGCACUGUGAAAUUAUGCCAAUUUCAGUACAAAACGGUUCGAUUCAUCAAAAGGAUGCAGUAAAUGAUGAUGACUUUGAGCCAUAUCUAAGUAGCCAGACAAAUCAGAGUAACAGCUAUCCACCAAUGUCAGACCCAUACAUGCCUAGUUAUUAUGCUCCAUCCAUUGGAUUUCCAUAUUCUCUAAGUGAAGCAGCAUGGUCCACUGCAGGUGACCCUCCAAUGCCAUACUUGACAACCUAUGGACAGAUGAGCAAUGGUGAACAUCACUAUAUACCUGAUGGUGUGUUUAGUCAACCUGGGGCUUUAGGAAAUACCCCUCCAUUCCUUGGUCAGCAUGGAUUUAAUUUUUUUCCUGGGAAUGCAGAUUUCUCUACAUGGGGGACAAGUGGAUCUCAGGGACAAUCAACACAAAGCUCUGCUUAUAGCAGCAGCUAUGGCUAUCCACCUAGCUCUCUUGGUAGAGCCAUAGCAGAUGGACAGGCUGGAUUUGGCAGUGAUACUCUGAGCAAGGUGCCUGGGAUUAGCAGCAUUGAGCAAGGCAUGGCGGGACUGAAAAUUGGUGGGGAUAUGACAGCUGCUGUGACAAAAACUGUAGGUUCAGCUCUGAGCAGUACAGGUAUGACCAGCAUUGCAGCAAAUAGUGUGCCCCCAGUUAGCAGUUCAGCACCUAAACCAACCUCAUGGGCUGCCAUUGCUAGGAAGCCUGCUAAACCUCAGCCGAAACUCAAGCCUAAGGGUAAUGUGGGAAUUGGGGGCCCUGCUGUACCACCACCUCCUAUAAAACACAACAUGAACAUUGGAACUUGGGAUGACAAAGGGUCGGUGGUAAAAGCACCCCCUUCCCAGCCAAUACUGCCUCCUCAGACUAUAAUACAGCAGCCUCAGCCAUUAAUUCAACCACCACCAUUGGUGCAAAGCCAAUUGCCUCAACAGCAGUCUCAGCCACCACAACCGCAGCAGCAACAAGGACCUCAGCAGCAGGCCCAGCCUCACCAGUUGCAGCAGCAACAGCAGCUGCAAAACCGCUGGGUAGCUCCUCGUAACAGGGGCGUGGGCUUCAGCCAGAACAAUGGAGGAGCUGGCAGCGAAAACUUUGGCUUAGGUGUUGUACCUGUCAGCUCUUCACCUGGUGUAGAGGUGCACCCAGUACUGGAGAAACUAAAGGCCAUAAACAACUAUAAUCCCAAAGACUUUGAUUGGAAUCUGAAGAAUGGACGUGUGUUUAUAAUCAAAAGCUAUUCGGAGGACGAUAUACACCGCUCCAUUAAAUACUCUAUCUGGUGUAGUACUGAACAUGGUAAUAAACGUUUGGAUGCUGCUUACCGUUCCCUGAAUGGAAAAGGUCCACUCUAUUUACUCUUCAGUGUGAAUGGCAGUGGACAUUUUUGUGGAGUGGCUGAGAUGAAGUCUGUUGUGGACUACAAUGCAUAUGCUGGAGUCUGGUCUCAGGAUAAGUGGAAGGGGAAGUUUGAUGUUAAGUGGAUCUUUGUCAAAGACGUUCCCAAUAACCAGCUGCGGCACAUUCGUUUGGAAAACAAUGACAACAAACCGGUUACCAAUUCGAGGGACACUCAAGAGGUACCCCUAGAAAAAGCUAAGCAAGUGCUUAAAAUAAUUGCUACUUUCAAGCAUACCACCUCAAUCUUUGAUGACUUUGCACACUAUGAAAAGCGUCAGGAGGAGGAGGAAGCCAUGCGUAGGAAGCCUAUAGAAUUGAAGAGAAGAGGAAAUGAUGAAGUAAUCAGAGUCCAGAUAGAGGAAUAGACUGGAGGAACAUCCCUAUGGAGGGAGGUGGAAGUGACAAAGUUUUUAAUUGGAUUCAGAAAUUGAUAGGGAGCCAAUUCAGGAGAGAAAUAGAAACAAACAAUAACUAUAUGGAGAUGUCCUGCUAGAAUUACAACACUAAUGAUGUAGACUCUGGAAAUGCCUAAUAUGUCUAAGACGACGUUAUUAAAGCUUUUUUUCUGCUUAAGGUGACAUCUUUGAACACUUUAACACGAAAUUGACUCUUCUUGUAAUGGUUCUCAUCAGUGCAUCUGCCCUUAUACUCUCUCACCAAACACACUUGAGAACUGUAACUUCGUCAAGCACUUUCUGUCCUGAAGCUUUUACCAGUAUCUGCUGUCUUUUGUAUUUAUGCAUCCUAGCUAAGGCACAGGAGCCGGAAGGAAUGCAAGGAUUCAUUAACUCUUUGAAUUUGUUAAAUACUAACAAUUAACCAUUAGAAGUGAUUCCAUGAUGUGAGAUUCACAUUGCUUCAACUUAUUUUUUCUUUGUUGUAGUUUUUUUUUUAAUUGUCAGUUUUUAGCUAUUCAACAGAUUAAAAGCAAAAUCAUGCCAUAUUUAGUCCUGGAGUAAAACUCAAGUCUAAAUGUUCAUGUGAAAAUUAUUGUAGUAAACUUUUAAUAUGGCAAAGCAACUUUAAGAUGCAGUUUAGCCAAAUGAAACGUAACAUGAAAUUAUAUUAGAAUGACAUUUCCCUUGUUUCAAACUGUUUGGUGUAAGAGAAUAUUAAUAUGCAGCUUGGUGGACAGCACCGGUUAAUGCACACUUCUUUAUUUUUUCUGUAAUAUGUAUACCGAAAAAAGUGCAUUUGUCUGAGGAACUGUUUGUUUGCUACCACUCAAUGAAUCUCAGUUUUGAGUAAAUGUACCUCAGUCUAAAUCAGACUUUUUAUGACCUUUAUAACUACAUUUAAAACCUUUAAUUCCUAUUUCUGGGUGUUUGCAAGCCUGACAGAUUGCUAUCAUGGAAGUGAAAAUUUACUCCUCUAGAUGAUUCACUAGCUAAAUAAACAUAAUUCUUGUUUAGCAAGCAUAUACUGUUUCUCAGCUUUUUUCCUCCUAUUAUCACAGUAUUCAGGCAUUCUCUCUUCAAAAUACUUUUCGAAAAAGACUGAUCAGUGGAUCAAGUCUGUGUUCACAUCCAUGUGUACCUGUUACUGGCUAGAGCUCUCUAACAAAGUGUUUAAGAUACUAUAUUAAUCUGAAUACUUCUAUGCUAAAUUUUUAAUUUACCUUUUGAAAAUUAUUUUUUACAAUAACCUGUUUCUUAGUAACAUGAAUUUUACCUGAUGGAAGAAUUUGUAUGAUCAAAAAUGUCAAGCGGCUGUAUGAACUGCAUAAAAUACUGAACAGUCUGUACAAAUUCCAGAGAUAGUUUCCUUUUUUUAGAACAGCAGUGUAGAAGACAGAUAUGUUAAAGCUUAAAAUAGCAAUACUGCAGAUUUGAAUGCCUUUGGUGUGUCUUAUUAUCCAACACAAAUGUUUACAUUGUGUUUGGAAUCUCUUGCAUUUACAACAGCUUCUAGUCAGCUAAGUUCUGACAUUUAGGGACAAGCACAGCUUUUUUAAAUAUAGGCUAUUUUACUAUAUAUGCACUACUUUUUUCUCUUCUCCAACACACACACACACAACGAAUAUACAGUAUUCUUUGUCCAUUGAUUUAAAACAUUUUACAGUCCCUCGGUGGAGAUUUAAUUCAAUACCCUGGAGCAUGGGAUAUAAAGCGUUACGAAUACAAAUGUUAGCUUGUCCCAGUAUUCUGAAAGUUCAAAAGGUAAUAGCACCUGGCAGUGUAGAGAAGGAAGCCGCUUGAUUCAAAUGCUGUGGGGUACGGGGAGGGGCCAGGAACAAAGGGGGUGGACAGAAAGGGGCAAGCUGUGUUUGUCGCAUGGAAUUACAUGCUAGGGGACUGUGGUAGAAGGGUCUAUAACCACUGAGCACAAUUCCCUUCAGGACCUAGAUUUGGAAACCUGAGUCCCGGACUCCCAGCAUUCCUUUAUUGUAUAGCAAAUAGCUAUAAAAUAGUGGCAGAAUGUUUCGUCUCUCUCUCUACUGGCUAGUCUACAGAGGAAAAUAGCCUACCACUCCUACCAGCUAGUCUGUUCGCUUAAGUGGCAGAUAUUGAGGCUGUGAGUGUAAAGGGUCUAAUCCUGCUGGUGACCCAUUUGGGCAUCAACAUGUUUCCACACCAUGGAAUUUGUUUUUCCUUUUGCUUUUUAAAACAGUGUUCGAUAUUACAGGGGGACUACAGUGAAAGAAUGUUAAGUUUGCAAGUCAAGCAUUCGAAAAUUAGGAAAUGCCAGAAUCAAGUUUGUUUGCGUGCUCUUAAUUUAGAUUCCAUGUAUAUAUACCUUGUUAGUCUUUAAUUAUAUGAUCACAUACUAUUUUUUCCCACAAGAACCCAGCCUAAUUCAGUGCACAGAACGAAGCAGGUUGUAUGUAGUGAAUGAGGCUAUGCCUUAUUUGUUCUAGAAGUUAAAAGAUGUGAAGAAAAUGACGUGGGAUUGCAGGAUGAGACAGAACGAUCUUCUGGCUAAGGUAGUUGCUAUAGAGUUCCUGUAUGAUGCUAGGCAAGUCACUUAAGACAAACUUUUCAGAGGUGGCCGCUAACUGUGUUUUAACUUUUCUGGGUGCCCAAAUUGAGACCUGAGCAUUCACACCUAAAAUUGAUUUCAAUAUACUUUAAAUAUAGAAAAUGCUGUAAAAUACUAAAUACUCUAUAAAAUCAGAUCCUGAGUGGUAUUGGGCACACACAAAAUUCAUGAGUACUUGACAUUUUUGGCCUUGAAAUGAUGCACAGAAGUUAAUCUAUACAAAGGUAGGAUUUGUCAUCCCCUAUCUCACUGGAGUAUUGUUAAAAUAAGUUUUCAGAUGCGUGAUGAGUGUCAUAGAAAAGCCCAUGAAGAAAAUACUAAUUCUUUAGUCAGUGCAGGGUUUGGAUGGUGUGCAGUAGGUAAGGCACAAGGUCUCAUACCAAAUGAGAUUGAAAUAUUGAAAUAGUUACCCAGGAUAAAUCAAGUCAGGCUCCUGGUAGAAAAUCUAGUAAGUGAUCGUGUAACUAAUGACUGUCAUAAUAUAUACAUACAAGAGGGACAUAUUAAGUUUGCAUGGGUAGCCAUAAUUCUGCCAUUCUUUAGCUUUUGAGUGCUGCUUGACUGUAAUUUUUUUAAUGAGAAAUGCAUCUUGUCACUUGAAUUCCCAGGCUGCUGGCCUAACAAAAUAUGGGUACUAUUUUUCUUUGAGGGACUUCUGUACUGGGACAGACUCUCACCUACUAUUACUUAGGCAAAUUUCAGCUCAUUAGGUUUCCGCAUAUCCUUUGGUAACUUAUUACAUUUUUGCAUUUAAACAAGUUUGCUCCUUUUAGAGCUAAUCUCUUCUUCUGCUUGAUCCUGUACCACUGACGUCCUGCUGAAUUCAUGACUGCAAUUUUUCCAAAAUUCAUUGGAAAAAGAAUUGAUCUCAAAGCUCAGGUCUGUGGCACCAAAAAAUUGAGUUGGUCUAAUGCAGAUAACUGAAAUAAUAAAGAUGAGACAUUUUCACCGAGUCUUACCUGUAAAGUCCCUUCGUGAGGUUACUUUUUUUAUAGUUGGAAAUUCUCAUUUCAAAUGUUAAAAAUGAUUCAAAAAUAAAUGUACCAUGUUUCUCUAUGUAUGGAUGCUGGUUGAUCUUUCCCAGCAGAAAUUUAGUUAAAUAAAUACUGCCUUGUAAAUUCCAAUGCAGUGCUAGCUGCCUUAUUUUGGUCCUGUCUAGGCUAGGCUUUCAAAGUAAUUAAUAUCUCUGCAGCAAGAAAGAUGUUUAAAUGGUUCUCCAGAUGUUGCUAACAGUUUGAAAACCUAAUGCAGAACUGGCCUGUGUGGGGGGAGGGGAAGGGGUUUGUUUUUUGUUUUUUGAAGCAUUGACUUUUUUAAAGGGAUACUUGAUAUUGAAGAGGCAUUCAAAUACCUAACAUUGUUCAUGGGGGGGGGUAAUGGUUGUUAGAAAAAGUUUAGAAAAAUAAUCAAUAUAAGCAGUUCCAUCAUUUCAACUCAUUUUGCUGCCAUUUUCAUUUUAAGGAAAUGAGAGGCACUUGUUUUCAGUAACAUUUGUGUAUUCUUUUGCCAUGUAAAGAUCCUUCAUCUAUUUUUCUGGUAAAAAUUAAGGAAAAGAUUAAGGGAGAAUGGUUCAUUUAACUUCAUUCAUAGCAGAACAUGGAUGUUUGAAUUUUGUUUGUUCCUUCAUGUGGAUUAGACUGCAGUUAAUUAGGUGAGAGCUUCUGUUUGGCAUGAAAACUCACCAUUUGGUCCUUUUUAAUCCUUGUGAGGGUUUCAAUAAAGAGAACCUGUUGA